Salvia hispanica is the source of this 1386-nucleotide RNA transcript. It is a transcript of the gene named SMAD/FHA domain-containing protein, with no coding region annotated. Lineage: Eukaryota; Viridiplantae; Streptophyta; Magnoliopsida; Lamiales; Lamiaceae. The record is from RefSeq and is a predicted model, not a curated record.
AGUGUUCAAAGUUUUCAACCCGAAUCAGUAUCUCACCGCUUCCAUCAAUGGAAGUCGUAACCGAAAACGGAGCCCCGACCCGAAUCCUACUGGGUCAAAACCUCGAAAUCGGGCGGGCACAAGGCCUCGAUUCCUCGGACAAAACAGUUUCGCGGCGCCAUCUCUCCCUCUCCGUCGCCGGAGAUACGAACGGCGAAGAAACCCGCCUGCAAUUCGAAGUCCUCGGAAGAAAUCCAAUCUACGUACACAGAGAUGGCGAAGUCAAGAUUUUCCGGAGGUUCGAGAGAGGCGAGAUGAGAAAGGGCGACAUGCUGUGCGUUUCCGGAAAGAAUCCCGUUUGGUACUCAGUCAGAACAACUGAAGAUUGCGGGGAAGGUGUUCGACAAAAUGUGUCAGAGAUUGAAUUGGCUGCUAAACUGGAGAUUGAUUCGGGAGUUGUCGAUUUAGAUAUUUCGGGUCUCGAUCCUGUUAAAGAAUUUGGUUUUGUGGUUGCAGGCCACGAGUUUGAUGGAUAUCCGAAAAGGAUGAUCCAGAAUUGGAAUUGGUUUGUUGAGGAAGAAGUGAGAGAUGGAGAAGAUGAUGACAAUGAGAAGAAAGUGAAGGGGAAGAGGAAGAGAGGAGGAGGGCAUAAUGAUGAUGAGUGGAGCGGCGAGAGUGAAGAUGAGAAGGUGUUGAUGAACAAAUCAAGAAAGGCACGAAGGGAGAAGUACGUGACAAGGUCCGAGGAUCGCCAUGGUAAGAUGAGCUCAACAAGAACGGAUGAUAGGAUUGUUGAUAAUGAAGAAGAGGACGAGGACAAUGAAGAUGACGAGACAUUAGGGGGCUUUGUUGUGGAUGACGAAAACGUGGAGGAGGAGGAAGAGAAUGAAUCGGAGGAGGAGGAAGAAGAUUUUGAAGAUGAAGAUGAAGACGAAGAUGAAUGACAUGAUCAUACAAGAACAUAUUGUAGGGCUUUAACUUGUUAUGAAUACCGUGUUGUAUAUUUUUGUAUCCCUGUGAUCCAGGUGUGUGAAGGAGACGCUAGAUCCAGGAAGAGCUGGAGACAAUGGACUAGCAAAGGAAACGGAGGGAAAGUGAGCAGAAGUGAAGAGAAAAAAAUGGCUAGACGAAGGAGGUCAAUAGCUGAGGGCAACAAAGACUAUUCAUACCUCGCUGGACCCACUUCAACGCCUAUAAAUAAAGGAGCAUGCAGCACACGCCAGAGAGGAAUUUUGCUCUUAGCUCACACACUCACACACACACUUGGGAAAUGGGAAUUCUGGGAUAGUUUAGGGUUUCUAAGGGGUUCAUCUUCGGCAAAAGUCAGUGGUAACACCGUCCUCUCGGAGGGCAAAGAAACAAUCUGCUUUUCAUUCAGCUUUUCGCACUUUUAUUCCGUCGAACUUC